UGGGCAUGGGCGAAGGGGCGAGGAGAAUAAGAAUGGAAGAGGAAGAGAAACAGACCUCCAUACUGCUACCAUGGUGCCACCUUGGCACAGGCACAAUGCGGCGAAACGAACAGCAGAGCGGGCAGAGAAAAGGAAGCUAUCCGAUGACAGCAGAGCAUAGAAGUGAGGAAGAUGCCAGCAGACACAGGAUGACUCAGAUGUAGAUGGAUGAAGGGAAGCAUAGAAGUAUGUUGAGGAGAGAAAUGGAUGGUACUAUGAAACUCCAUUGCGUGCCAGCCAGCGGGCACCAUGCCAGCCUGCAGUCGUGGCACACCCGAAGCGAUCAAAAACUGUCUUAGUCAAAGACAAGGGGACUCACCUCCUGAGGAUUUGCUGCUAAUCGCCGUUUGUUUGCUUGGACAAACCCAAGAAGAGGUGCCCAGGCAACGGUUGCCAGCAAUUCUGUGAUGGCAUCUUUUCAGGGGCGGCAAGGGCACGGGGAGAAAGAUGGCAUGUGCCAAGCCAACAUAACACACAUUUGCAAACAGAAACCUCCAUACGGUAAGCAGAACAUUUCGGAUGCCUUAAAUGUUUUGGCGAUGGCAUCCCCUCAAGGGAGAGACCAGAAACAGAGAUGGCACCAUGCCAAACGCAAACAGGGAGGCAUUCACGGGUGCCAGCAGAAGCUGUAGAAAAGCGUAGUAAAUGCGGACACAAAAUAGUAGCAGAAGGUCUGAACCAAAGCCAAAUGCAAGUAUGGUAGGAGUAUGGACUAAUACCAUUUCCUCAAUGCCACCCCUGCUCAGUGCCAACUGCUGCACUGAAAGGAAGCUGCUGCCCAUUACAAAGAGCUACAAGGGAUCAUACCAUUCCAUUAUGAAGAGGAAGAGUCUGUGUAAGAAGAGGAAUAAUGAGCAAAAUGAAUAAAGUAUAUAGAAGAAGAAAAAAUUGGGAAUUUUGUGCUUUACGAAGAACAUGAGGAGUGGGUGGACAAGGAUGAUGAAGAGCCUCUUUCCUGCACAUGCACACCUGGGACAUUCUUAAAGGGAUAUCCCCUCAGACUGCUGUGUGUGUUAAAGGGAGGGAUGUGUUGGCAUCAACUCCAGGGUGUCAAGCUGUGUUUCUCUAUUGCCAGUCAGGGAGGGGGCUGCAGUCGUCAAGGGCGGGCAACUGUCUGGGCAUCUCAUCUGCAGCUAAUUAACAGCCACACACUAAUUCUAACAGCCGAUCAUAAUUAGCGAUUUAAUCGCUCGUCAACGUUUUACUCCCCCCUUAAAUUGUGCCUCCUAUUUGGACACGUGCGGAUAAGCUAAGGAACGCUGGAUCCCCCCUCCCCUCCUCCUCUUCGUCCUUCUUUCCUUCAUCCUUGGCUCCAGACUCCAGUGGGAUCUUAAUUAAGCCUGGGCUUCAUUAUGCAAAUGGAGUACAAUAAACGACAGCAGAGGUGGAGCUGGAUCCAGACUGAAACGGAACAGUGGGAGGGGAGCACUGGAAGUGGAAAAUGAAGAGAUGUGGAAGGUUACCAAAAUCGUCUAUAUGAUGUUACUGCGUUCCAAUAAUUAUAUAUUGUUGUAACAUGUAUGUCUUCGGUGUACCACUACCACAUGUGGUGUGAGAACCAACAUUUCUCGCUCUGAUGCUCCAUUGCUGUUGCUGUUGUCCUUUGGAAAAACUCUGAAAUAGCACUGGAUAUGCAGAAUGUCAUCUCUCACAAAGCAAAUUCAUAAGGGAAUGGUGACAAUGAACCCCCUUUAAUAUCACCAGUUGGCCGUUGUCGUGGAUACGAAGAAAGAUGGUAGAGAUAGGAAAAGAGGAAGGAGGUAGACAGAAACAGUGACAGUGGCUACAGCAUGGCAGCUAAUGUCAUCUCAGUUUAAUCAUCGCUUGGGAUCAUGGGGUUCAUGAAAAUUCAUUUGCAUAUCAUUAAAUGGAGAGAGGUUAUUUGGUGCAGGCAGCCAAAAUGGGAUUGGAUGAAGCAAGAAAAAAAAAGGCAAAUGGAGGGACUCGUUAUUAAACAGCAAUGUUUUAUAGUCCGCCAGCCGAUUCAUUUAAUUUGGGCGUAAUUAAAAUGUGUCAGACUCAAUCAAUCAUUCCAACUGGGAUACUAUCAAUGUUUCAGUCUGAAAAAGGACUAAUCAGUAGAUGUGCGGUCGGACAUUUUCCAAUAACAGUUUAAGUGCUUUAGUCUACUGUGAGCUUGACCCAUCCACUCUUUUUUUCUAAUUUAUCUGAAGGAGUUCAUCAAAACAUCCAUUGUGACUUCUCUGUAUUGUGUCAAGACAUGUCUAUCUCUGACAGGUGGUAGUGCCACCCCGUGUUAGUCAAUAAGAGGAUAGCUCACACUAGUCAUGUUUCCAUCUAAUUUUCAAGCGAAUUUUAAGCGAACUUUUAAAAUAACGCAAAAACAAAGAAAAUGUGAAUUAGAAGCGUUUCCAUCAACUGGUUUAGAGCAAAUAAAUUAGACUACGCAAAGGGUAGUUUCGUCACAAGUUGACGUCACGCAUUGUUGUAGAUUUCACAUGUCUUGCUAAAUCAAAGAGUUUAGAAGCUAAAUUCUUAAAUGGAGAGAGGUAGCAUUGUACAAGUUGGCAACCUGUGCAGAAUACAGGUUUGUGGCAGAGACAUUUGGUGUCAGCGAGACAACCAUUCACCACUGUGUAUACGCAGUGUGCAGUGCCAUACGAUUCAAGCUGUUGAACCAAUUCGUCAAUUUACCCGACGUGGCUGAGACACAGGCUAUAGCGCACCGCAACUCCACUACGCACCUUGUGCCACAAGUGUACGGCACACUGGAUGGGACCCGUAUCCCGAUCCUUCCCCCAUCCGAUGGAUACUGGGACUAUAGUCAUGUGAGUUACAUGUUCGCUACGUCACAACUUAUUCGGUAAAGCUGUUUCCAUCUCCCAUUUUGCGCUCUUUUUCAAAAAAAAAGAAGGCAAAAACCAGCUCAAGCGAGCGGAAAAAGUUUUUUGCGAAUUUGAGGACGUUUUUUCGAAUUUUGCCAUUUCCAUCAACAUUUUCUAAAGCAAUACUUCAAAAUGCGCAUACAAAUACGUUGAUGGAUACAUGACUACUGUCUUUUUGACCUUAGUAGUAAGCUGUCAGUGGUGUGUACAUGUAUGUGCAUGCAUAUGUGCUUUUCUCAUUUGCAUAAGUGAUGUAAUUAGACCCGCCCUUUCACAUGCAGAUCAGUUUGACAACAUGGCAAUCACUCCAACACACAUUUACAGCCAUACACACAUACACACACAAACACACGCGACUGCACACGCUUACGGCCGUGACCACCCCCAUAUCAUGGGGAGUCUGUUGUCUGUGAGCAGAGAGUGUAAAGAUUAACAUAAUCCAGCUAAUAAGUGUGAGUAAUAUUCACACAGUGACGCGUGGCGUAGACACUGUCCUGCUGAUGCGUAUUUGUAUCUCAUUAUAGAUGUAAAGCACUAAAGGGGGUCCGACAGGGAGGGUGCCAGUGUGGAUGGGGGAUGGUGAGGGGUCCCCAAAAAAGUGUAGGCCUUAAUGUAGAUACACCCAAGAAUGACAAAAAAACAGCAGUAUUUUUUAUAAGCUAUAUCAUCCACCCUUUCUACAGAGGUCUAGUGAUCUAAAGACAGAAUACACAGGGUACCUCAACUAGGAUGCAGGCGAUCGGUAUAGGAAGUCUUUCUAUUGUUUCCACAAAAUCAGAAAGACAAUUUCACUCAUUUUUCUGCUUGUUUACAGUAAAAAGAAGGCACAGAGUGUCAGUUUUUGCAGCAAAAUGUAGGAAUUAUAAAUAGAGUGUAUUUGCGCUUGCAGGCUAGCUCUGCAACAUGAUUGAUUAGGAUGGUGUGACGACCAUUAAAAAGUCAUUUAAAAGAUGGAUAGGGACCACAUUUCCAAAUAAAAACCACUUUAUACCUGAUGAAGUGCUGAACAAACUCCUUCAAAGACAUUUACUGAUUACUCUCAGUGUGUGAGUGAGUGUAAUGUGGGAAGCACCCAUGUUCUGUGUGUAGCUCUGCAUCAACUGUAGAAGAUACCAAAGCAAUCUUCAGGACACAGUUGAGCAGUGGGUGGUGGUGUCCACAUUUUUAAAACUAAAAUUAGAUCUCAAAUUUUUAGAUUAAAAGAAGCAGCGUGAUGCUUAUUUGGGAACAGAUAUAAUCUAUCUGCAUAUGCACAAUGUCACAAACAGGCCUACCACACACACACACACACACACACACACACACUGAUUGAAAUGUAUCUGAUAGCACAGAGUUGCUUUGACUAAAGCCUUAUCCAAAGAGGCAGAGCUGUGUCUAAAUGUGCGAAUGUAUUUCAGCUCUGUCUCUUUAACUCAGGGCUCCACCAUAGCAGCAUGCUUUUGGAUUCAUGCAUAAACAUGAGCUGGCCUUUCAGCUCUCUCCUCACAUAACCAAUCUAAAUCUAAAUGAGCCCCCACUACAGAUACACCAGCAGGCAAUGACAUUACACCCCCCAGCCACAGCCCAACCCCCUACUCUACCCUACUACCCCCAGCGACACAUAUACACCAGCAGGCAAUAAUUUCACGCCAUCUCUCAAAGCCCCCCCCCUCCACCUCCUCUGCACACUCGUACCCCCUUUUGCCGCAACCCCACCAGCUGCACAGUACUCAUUUGAUUAAGAGGGGGAGGACAGGGAGAAGGAGAAAUGGUGGGGGAUCACUUUAUCGGGAUGACUUUCUAAGAUGACUAUCAUCAGCUACGAAGCUAUCUAAAGCCCUCUUCUGUGUUUACUUUCUAUUGUUCUCCCAAUGUAGCUGUUUGUCUGUUCCCUGCCUGCAACCCCAAUCAGAACUGUUUCACAGAUAUAUUGCCUCAGUUGUCGCAUUCAUGUGUAAUGGUUAAAUUAAUGGCUUGCUGCUACAGAACAAGGAACAGGUACCAGUCUGUGCUGGAAACUCAUGGUCACACUGGACAACACAUUCUUGCAUUGUAGUUUUUUCUCUGGCAAGUUGUCUCAUCAACCACUGGAAUGUUUUACACAUAAAAAGUAAAUUCAAUAAAAUAAAAUCUGUUCUACAAA
This is a long non-coding RNA of Perca fluviatilis (European perch), 5007 nucleotides long. RefSeq lists it as uncharacterized. The transcript is spliced from 2 exons. NCBI's taxonomy places the organism in Eukaryota, Metazoa, Chordata, Actinopteri, Perciformes, Percidae. The record is from RefSeq and is a predicted model, not a curated record.